This 1524-nucleotide long non-coding RNA is filed under the name Monodelphis domestica (gray short-tailed opossum). RNAcentral describes it as "lncRNA (ENSMODG00000045250.1)". Lineage: Eukaryota; Metazoa; Chordata; Mammalia; Didelphimorphia; Didelphidae. The record is from RNAcentral.
AAUAAUUUCUACUCGAAGUUGGUGCUUCCCCCACCCCCAACACUCAGCUCUACCCCUUUCCAGGUGGGACAGGCUCUGUGUUCACGCCCAGGCUCUUUCGGACCUUGUGACUUGGCUCCCAACCCCAAGGAGUCGGUUGCAGGGGAAGAGAGCUGUUAGUAGCCAGGCUCAGGUUUCCAACCUGGCCAGGUUCCCCAGGCACUUGAGCAGGCAAAAUAAGCCAGCUCUCCCCCUCCCUGGACUAUUCCUCGCUGCCUGGCUUUGCAGGAAGCUCAGCAGUUUUCAGCGGGCAGACUUGGGCCAUCUGGUCUGGGUCUGGAGGGAAGGAGUCUUGGGCACACCUGAACUGAGCCCCUGUGGAGGGACCAUGGAGCCCGGGGAUUCAGCUGAGGGGUCGUCCUUGGAGUCUUCACGUGGAAAGUCCCUCCCAGAAUCUGCUUGGUCAUGGAUUCCGAUGAUGAAGGACCCUGGAUGGAUUCGGAAUGUAUGGACUUCGAAUCUUAAUGUGAGUAGUUUAAAGAACAGCCAAUCUGUUUUCAUUCCAAUUAAUUUGCAUUUAUUUCCUCUGUCUCCCAUUUACCCCUCACGACCUGUCCCUUCCCGAGAAAAAAAUAAAACAAGAUGCAUUGCCAAGGAAAAUAAAUCCCCACAUUGGUCCCAUUGGAAACCGAGUGCCUCGUUCUGCACAUUUUGACCCCUUCUCUUUGUCAGGGCCUAGUUAGAAUUCUUUGUCACUGGUCCUUGGAGCCGUGACUGGUCAUCGCGGUGAUCAGAAGAGCCCGUACAUCUUCUCCUUUUAACUGUGGGGCUGGGGGCAAAGCUUGUGUUCAAGUGAGGGGAGGCUUCCUUCCUGGUUCCUUUGUUUACCAAGCCUUUAUCACUCACCCAAACUCUUAUUUUGGACACAUAUUCUGCUUAUAGUUGGAGCCCACUGAAAGCCAGUCCAACAAAGUGAGUGGCCACGUUCUAUAGAUCCAGGCAGGACCUCAGAGGCCAUCGAGGCCAACCCUGACCUGAACAAGAAUCCUCAAGGCCAUCUACCCAUCGUGUAGCCUUGUCUUGGAUGACUUGGAUGGAAAGGGAUUCCCGUCCUCCCAAGGCUAUCCAUUCCUUCUUGGGAUGGCUUUGAUUAAGUCAAUCCAAUAAGCAUUUAUUAAGCACCGUGCCAUGCUUUCUGAUUAGAAUUAGAGAAUAUUGCCUUACAUCAGCCUCACAUCUCUUUCUUUUUACCCACUGCUUCUUGUAUGGGCCUCUGUGGUCAAGGAGAGGAAAUCAGAUUCUUUUUCCCUGGAAGAGCCCUUGGGUUACAGAAAAGCAACUAUGAUGUUCUCUUCCUAAUUUUCUCUCUACCUCUUUUUUAAAUUUCAAAAUGAUUUAUUAAGACAUUUUAAAAUUAAAAUACAAAGACUGCUUCUUGGUUUGUGGUUCACUGAAUCAGCCAAUUGUUAGGUAUUCAUUCAACUGGCCUUUUGGAUCCUAGGAAAAAUCCUUGUUUAAAAUAAAACAAGCAAUGGAGACUCUUCA